This 447-nucleotide ribosomal RNA is filed under the name uncultured bacterium. RNAcentral's name for it is "partial 16S ribosomal RNA". It matches the Rfam family "Bacterial small subunit ribosomal RNA", at positions 29 to 523 of the family's 1533-position model. The record is from RNAcentral.
AACGAACGCUGGCGGCAGACUUAACACAUGCAAGUCGAGCGCCCCGCAAGGGGAGCGGCAGACGGGUGAGUAACGCGUGGGAAUCUACCCAUCUCUACGGAAUAACGCAUGGAAACGUGUGCUAAUACCGUAUACGUCCUUCGGGAGAAAGAUUUAUCGGAGAUGGAUGAGCCCGCGUUGGAUUAGCUAGUUGGUGGGGUAAAGGCCUACCAAGGCGACGAUCCAUAGCUGGUCUGAGAGGAUGAUCAGCCACACUGGGACUGAGACACGGCCCAGACUCCUACGGGAGGCAGCAGUGGGGAAUAUUGGACAAUGGGCGCAAGCCUGAUCCAGCCAUGCCGCGUGAGUGAUGAAGGCCCUAGGGUUGUAAAGCUCUUUCACCGGUGAAGAUAAUGACGGUAACCGGAGAAGAAGCCCCGGCUAACUUCGUGCCAGCCGCCGCCGUAA